This 460-nucleotide ribosomal RNA is filed under the name uncultured bacterium. RNAcentral describes it as "partial 16S ribosomal RNA". It matches the Rfam family "Bacterial small subunit ribosomal RNA", at positions 338 to 795 of the family's 1533-position model. The record is from RNAcentral.
CCUACGGGAGGCAGCAGUGAGGAAUAUUGGUCAAUGGGCUUACGCCUGAACCAGCCAAGUCGCGUGAGGGAAGACUGCCCUAUGGGUUGUAAACCUCUUUUGUCAGGGAGCAACGCCGGCUACGUGUAGCCGGACUGAGAGUACCUGAAGAAAAAGCAUCGGCUAACUCCGUGCCAGCAGCCGCGGUAAUACGGAGGAUGCGAGCGUUAUCCGGAUUUAUUGGGUUUAAAGGGUGCGUAGGCGGAAUGCCAAGUCAGCGGUAAAAUCGCGGGGCUCAACCUCGCUCCGCCGUUGAAACUGGCGGUCUUGAGGGGGCGAGAAGUAUGCGGAAUGCGUGGUGUAGCGGUGAAAUGCAUAGAUAUCACGCAGAACUCCGAUUGCGAAGGCAGCAUACCGGCGCCCAACUGACGCUGAAGCACGAAAGCGUGGGUAUCGAACAGGAUUAGAUACCCCUGUAGUC